GUCGGACGGCAGCAAGGCCUUCGGGCGCUGGCGAGUGGCGGACGGGUGAGUAAUGCAUAGGAAUCUGCCUGGUAGUGGGGGACAACUUAGGGAAACUUAAGCUAAUACCGCAUACGCCCUUAAGGGGAAAGCGGGGGACCGCAAGGCCUCGCGCUAUCAGAUGAGCCUAUGUUGGAUUAGCUGGUUGGUGGGGUAAAGGCCCACCAAGGCGACGAUCCAUAGCUGGUCUGAGAGGAUGAUCAGCCACACUGGGACUGAGACACGGCCCAGACUCCUACGGGAGGCAGCAGUGGGGAAUAUUGGACAAUGGGCGCAAGCCUGAUCCAGCAAUACCGCGUGUGUGAAGAAGGCCCGAGGGUUGUAAAGCACUUUCAAUGGGGAGGAAAAAGAUGGGGCCAAUACCUUCAUAAUUGACAUUACCCAUACAAGAAGCACCGGCUAACUCCGUGCCAGCAGCCGCGGUAAUACGGAGGGUGCGAGCGUUAAUCGGAAUUACUGGGCGUAAAGCGUGCGUAGGCGGCCUGCCAAGCCAGGUGUGAAAGCCCCGGGCUCAACCUGGGAACGGCACUUGGAACUGGCAAGCUAGAGUUAGGUAGAGGGGAGUGGAAUUCCGGGUGUAGCGGUGAAAUGCGUAGAUAUCCGGAGGAACACCAGUGGCGAAGGCGGCUCCCUGGACCCAAACUGACGCUGAGGUACGAAA
Molecule: ribosomal RNA, 700 nt
Filed under: uncultured bacterium
Lineage: Bacteria
Description: bacterial SSU rRNA
Rfam family: Bacterial small subunit ribosomal RNA
Source: RNAcentral